Molecule: long non-coding RNA, 782 nt
Filed under: Nicotiana benthamiana
Lineage: Eukaryota; Viridiplantae; Streptophyta; Magnoliopsida; Solanales; Solanaceae
Description: long non-coding RNA (NBEN_LNC016326)
Source: RNAcentral
UUCGGAACAUUUCAGGCAGCCAAUAUUCAUCAUAAGAUAUCAGGAAACUAAAUAAAAAAGAUAUCAAUGCUUGCUCCUUAAUUUUUAUAUAUAAGAUGCACACCAGUAGAACUCCAAAUGGUGGAUUAGAGGCUAGAAGGUUAAAUAGUACAAUAAUACAGCAAUUGGUUUCUUCAUAAUCGGAUAUUUAGCAGGAGUAUUUUAGUAUAAGUAGAGAUAUAAAAGAUGCAGAGCAUUUAAUAUAUAAGAAACAGAACUCCAUACCCUUUCAUAGCCCCGAAUAGUGUUAGUGGCCUUGUAAAUUUCGUGUUCCAUUGACUGUCCCCACGGGAAGUUUACCCAAGAUCGCAAUGUGCUCAGGUCAGUAAGGUCAUGGGUUGGCAGCUGAGCAGCACGACUUACUCGAUCCAUUAGGUAUGGCUGCACGGACUCAAGACGCACACAACAUACAUCACAUACUCGUUGCGGUUCCCCAGUGCGAAAUUUUUCAGGGAGCAAACUCUUUCCUUUAGUACAUUCAUUGCAAAAUAUCCCACCACAAAAUCGACAAUGAUGCCUGCUGCACAUGAUAGGGUGGAACCGCACACUACAUAACAUACAAGAAGAAGACUGAGCAGCACGGCUUACUCGAUCCAUUAGGUAUGGCUGCACGGACUCAAGACGCACACAACAUACAUCACAUACUCGUUGUGGUUCCCCAGUGCGAAAUUUUUCAGGGAGCAAACUCUUUCCUUUAGUACAUUCAUUGCAAAAUAUUCCGCCACAAAAUCGACAAUGAUGCC